UCGGUGAAGCCGGGAAAGCCUUUAGGGGAACACCCAGAGCUUGCACGCGUUCUGACCGGAGAAUCCUGGAGCCCAGUAUGGAGGCUGAGAGGUGAGGAGGAUUCCAAG
Molecule: non-coding RNA, 108 nt
Organism: Mustela putorius furo (domestic ferret)
Lineage: Eukaryota; Metazoa; Chordata; Mammalia; Carnivora; Mustelidae
Source: Rfam